Meriones unguiculatus (Mongolian gerbil) is the source of this 129-nucleotide small nucleolar RNA. The record is from Ensembl. NCBI's taxonomy places the organism in Eukaryota, Metazoa, Chordata, Mammalia, Rodentia, Muridae.
CCUGCCCCUAGAAGCGUUACAGGUAUGGUUAUUGUGUCAUGUGUGGCAGUAGGUGGCAGAGAGGUGAGAGGCUAUGCCUACACUCAGUGUUUUGACCUAUGAAUAUUUGAAUGAUAGUAGCCUAACAUU